CCUACGGGAGGCUGCAGUGGGGAAUAUUGGACAAUGGGGGGAACCCUGAUCCAGCCAUGCCGCGUGUGUGAAGAAGGCCCUCGGGUUGUAAAGCACUUUCAGUGAGGAAGAACGCCUGGUGGUUAAUACCCAUCAGGAAAGACAUCACUCACAGAAGAAGCACCGGCUAACUCCGUGCCAGCAGCCGCGGUAAUACGGAGGGUGCGAGCGUUAAUCGGAAUUACUGGGCGUAAAGCGCGCGUAGGUGGCUUGAUAAGCCGGUUGUGAAAGCCCCGGGCUCAACCUGGGAACGGCAUCCGGAACUGUCAAGCUAGAGUGCAGGAGAGGAAGGUAGAAUUCCCGGUGUAGCGGUGAAAUGCGUAGAGAUCGGGUGGAAUACCAGUGGCGAAGGCGGCCUUCUGGACUGACACUGACACUGAGGUGCGAAAGCGUGGGUAGCAAACAGGAUUAGAUACCCUGGUAGUC
This 465-nucleotide ribosomal RNA is filed under the name Vreelandella stevensii. RNAcentral's name for it is "partial 16S ribosomal RNA". It matches the Rfam family "Bacterial small subunit ribosomal RNA", at positions 338 to 795 of the family's 1533-position model. Lineage: Bacteria; Pseudomonadati; Pseudomonadota; Gammaproteobacteria; Oceanospirillales; Halomonadaceae. The record is from RNAcentral.